UACGUAGGUGGCAAGCGUUAUCCGGAUUUAUUGGGCGUAAAGGGAACGCAGGCGGUCUUUUAAGUCUGAUGUGAAAGCCUUCGGCUUAACCGGAGUAGUGCAUUGGAAACUGGGAGACUUGAGUGCAGAAGAGGAGAGUGGAACUCCAUGUGUAGCGGUGAAAUGCGUAGAUAUCGGGAAGAACACCAAUGGCGAAGGCAGGUCUCUGGGCCGUUACUGACGCUGAGGAGCGAAAGCGUGGGGAGCGAACAGG
This 253-nucleotide ribosomal RNA is filed under the name uncultured bacterium. Its description in RNAcentral is "partial 16S ribosomal RNA". It matches the Rfam family "Bacterial small subunit ribosomal RNA", at positions 524 to 776 of the family's 1533-position model. The record is from RNAcentral.